RNAcentral lists this unclassified non-coding RNA (233 nucleotides) under uncultured fungus. Its description in RNAcentral is "sequence contains ITS1". The record is from RNAcentral. Lineage: Eukaryota; Fungi.
UAUUGUAUUGCGUUAAACGCGGUAUACAUUCCAUGAGACUUUCGUUACAGUGUGUGUGUAAAGACAUAGAACCACGGCAGGGGGACAGAGCCCCCCACGCCACAGAACUACAGAGGGUGCACAGGUGUGAGUGGAUGUGUAAACAGAGCGUGCACAUGCCCCCAAUUUGAGGACCAGCAACAACUCGUGUCAACAGUUCAGUAAUGAUCCUUCCGCAGGUUCACCUACGGAAA